Molecule: long non-coding RNA, 830 nt
Organism: Pieris napi
Lineage: Eukaryota; Metazoa; Arthropoda; Insecta; Lepidoptera; Pieridae
Exons: 2
Source: RefSeq, a predicted model, not a curated record
UCGGAUCGUGUUCAUAAUCAAAUAUCUCUGCUUUCAAAUUGUGACGCGCAAAAACAAACGAAGCUGUAAUACGUAACAACGGCGUGGCAAAGUGGCUUAAGUUGUUUUGUUUUGCCAAGAUAAUCCCCGCGCACAAGUCCAGAUGCGGUGGUGUUUCAUACCAAAUUAGAAGCUAAAUAAAAAUUAUAAUAUAGUAUUGGGUUAACGCGAGUUCUACACAUAUAAAUAAAACGUCAAGGUACCAUGGCUAUGAUGUUAACGCUCAUAUUAACACGAAGCAUAUAGUUGAUCCAACAGGCAAAAAACAACAUGAGAGCCACGAUAAACCGCGCUGGGAUUGCAUCUGAAAAAAACCAUUUAUAUUAAAUCGAGGAAAUAUAAGGACUGGGCACGUACGGGCGGGGUAUUAUCAUCCAUAAAAAUGAAAUCUUUCUUAUGAAAUUAGCUUGUGGUUUUUGGCUACCAAUAAGACCACUCAGCACGGGGCACAUUACUCGGUGAAUCCAAACAAGACGUUGGAAUACGUCGUUUAGUUUGGAAGCUGGAAUUCCUGAUUACUUGAGAAUGUCUGGAAUGUUCUAAAGAGAGGAGUAAGAUCAGUGCAACCUGCUGCACAAAAUAUCAGGAGCUAAAAAACGUUGCAGGAAAGUGGGAACGUAUUCCUCAAAAUGUUAUUCGUUAUAUAAUUACAACGUAAGUAACAUCGUGGAAAUUAUGCCCAGAAGUAUUUUAACUGUGGUUAUGGCCAGGGCCGUCUUAAACUAGGCUGGGGCCAUUGGGCACACAAGAAUUUGGGGCCCUUUUGGAAAGUACAAAAAAGCUAAUUAUAA